GCCUUACACAUGCAAGUCGAACGGCAGCACGGACUUCGGUCUGGUGGCGAGUGGCGAACGGGUGAGUAAUGUAUCGGAACGUGCCUAGUAGCGGGGGAUAACUACGCGAAAGCGUAGCUAAUACCGCAUACGCCCUACGGGGGAAAGCAGGGGAUCGCAAGACCUUGCACUAUUAGAGCGGCCGAUAUCGGAUUAGCUAGUUGGUGGGGUAACGGCUCACCAAGGCGACGAUCCGUAGCUGGUUUGAGAGGACGACCAGCCACACUGGGACUGAGACACGGCCCAGACUCCUACGGGAGGCAGCAGUGGGGAAUUUUGGACAAUGGGGGAAACCCUGAUCCAGCCAUCCCGCGUGUGCGAUGAAGGCCUUCGGGUUGUAAAGCACUUUUGGCAGGAAAGAAACGUCAUGGGCUAAUACCCCGUGAAACUGACGGUACCUGCAGAAUAAGCACCGGCUAACUACGUGCCAGCAGCCGCGGUAAUACGUAGGGUGCAAGCGUUAAUCGGAAUUACUGGGCGUAAAGCGUGCGCAGGCGGUUCGGAAAGAAAGAUGUGAAAUCCCAGAGCUUAACUUUGGAACUGCAUUUUUAACUACCGGGCUAGAGUGUGUCAGAGGGAGGUGGAAUUCCGCGUGUAGCAGUGAAAUGCGUAGAUAUGCGGAGGAACACCGAUGGCGAAGGCAGCCUCCUGGGAUAACACUGACGCUCAUGCUCGAAAGCGUGGGGAGC
RNAcentral lists this ribosomal RNA (728 nucleotides) under Achromobacter spanius. Its description in RNAcentral is "bacterial SSU rRNA". It matches the Rfam family "Bacterial small subunit ribosomal RNA", at positions 46 to 769 of the family's 1533-position model. Lineage: Bacteria; Pseudomonadati; Pseudomonadota; Betaproteobacteria; Burkholderiales; Alcaligenaceae. The record is from RNAcentral.